This 451-nucleotide ribosomal RNA is filed under the name uncultured bacterium. RNAcentral's name for it is "bacterial SSU rRNA". It matches the Rfam family "Bacterial small subunit ribosomal RNA", at positions 10 to 507 of the family's 1533-position model. The record is from RNAcentral.
AGUUUGAUCAUGGCUCAGAACGAACGCUGGCGGCAGGCCUAACACAUGCAAGUCGAACGCCCUAGCAAUAGGGAGUGGCAGACGGGUGAGUAACACGUGGGAACCUUCCCUAUAGUACGGAAUAGCUCAGGGAAACUUGAAGUAAUACCGUAUACGCCCGAGAGGGGAAAGAUUUAUCGCUAUAGGAUGGGCCCGCGUCGGAUUAGCUAGUUGGUGAGGUAAUGGCUCACCAAGGCGACGAUCCGUAGCUGGUUUGAGAGAACGACCAGCCACACUGGGACUGAGACACGGCCCAGACUCCUACGGGAGGCAGCAGUGGGGAAUAUUGGACAAUGGGCGCAAGCCUGAUCCAGCCAUGCCGCGUGAGUGAUGAAGGCCUUAGGGUUGUAAAGCUCUUUUAGCAGGGAAGAUAAUGACUGUACCUGCAGAAUAAGCUCCGGCUAACUUCGUG